GUUUUUACCCACUGUCUUUGCGAAAACAAGGAAGUGAAAAAGGCAUUCCCAUUGCUUUUAUGGGUUUCUGUUUCUGCAGAGUUUGAAUUGGUCAGAAUUUUGAGAGCAGCCAUUGAGUCUGUCUCGAAAGAAAGCUGUUAUUUGACGGAUCUGAAUGUAUUAAGGUACACUUUACAAGAAUUAUUACUCUCGGGAGAUAACUUUUUAGUGGUACUAGAUGAUUU
RNAcentral lists this unclassified non-coding RNA (224 nucleotides) under Hevea brasiliensis (rubber tree). Lineage: Eukaryota; Viridiplantae; Streptophyta; Magnoliopsida; Malpighiales; Euphorbiaceae. The record is from RNAcentral.